Molecule: long non-coding RNA, 4362 nt
Filed under: Homo sapiens (human)
Lineage: Eukaryota; Metazoa; Chordata; Mammalia; Primates; Hominidae
Description: HSALNT0190472
Source: RNAcentral
ACAGAUUAUAUAAUUUCAUAUUAAGGACAUAAAACAAUGCAGAGGACUCUCUCCCCAUACGAACUUUACUGUUCCCAGAAUGGAGCCCCUCUGGGCUCUUUUCUCUGGACUCUCUUCCCAGAUGCAGAGUGCUGCUCUCUAAGCCUUGGGAACAGAGAAACUUUGUUCAGUUCCUGCUGUCAACAUUGGGGCCACUUCCUCUGCGUAAUAUCCUUCAUUAGGACAAUCCUCUUUUAAAAGUGUUUUCUAUUUUGGUCUUUGAUUCUAACAAAUUAUACCUGACAUAGAUGGAACAGAUAUAUUCCCUGACUUUCAGAUUAUCAAACUGAGGUUCAGAAGGACUUGGUGACUGCCCCCAAAGUUCAACAGCUCUUAUGUACUAAAUCAUGGACAAGUAACUCCUGAUCCCUGCCUCAAAGGCUCAGUAUUCUUUCACUUAAAAAAAAAACAAACCAUAGGAAACCUGCAGGCAGCAGCAUCGCCUAUGAUUCAAAGGCAAAAUAAUGAAAUCUGUGAGGAUCAAUGUCGGGGCUCUCCCUUCCCAGGGAGGCUCCUGAAAUCCUUUCCCGGCAUCAUGUACUCUGAGGACUGGCCAUCUCAUCAACGACCUGCCCCCAUUCUCCUUUAGGUGCUCUGCCUCCCAGCAAUUCCAUGGCCUUGGAAGCUACCUUACCUCGAUUUGGGGUUGUCUGACUCUCAUCCCCCAAGACAUCUUCUUCUCCUCCAUAGUGACUCCUCAGAGACAUGACCUCAGGUGUAUGACUGCAAGCAAACAUCACUGACUAGGACAAGGACAAUCCCCUGAAAUACUUUAAAAUGAAGGACAAAGGGGUGAACAGGAGCUAUGAAACCUGACCACAGGAAUAUGGAAUUCCAUGAUGUGAAAAAUAAUGAGUGAAUGAAUUUACUGCAAGGAGCUGCAAUGACUCUUCUUACUGACUUCAUCAGCUAACAAAUACAAAACCAAUACUCAGUUGAUACAAAUUGCACUGAUCCAACAACCGAUGAAAUGUUGGCAAAAAGUUCAAAUUAUCUUUAGUCAGCGAAAGACUCUAAUAUUUACCAAGAAAUCAAACAAAUUCAUAGAUUAUAGUACAAUAUAGAUAGUUUGGAUAAUGAACACUAAGAUCCUUGUUGCUGUAAGACUGAAAAUUACAAAAAACCCAUGAAGAAAACACAAAUGACCAAUAAGGAGUUUUAGCCUCUAGGUAAAUUGGUAUAUUGUCUUGUAGAUGGUCUUCCUCCUGUAACAUAGUCUAUCAACCAAACAGUGAGGUUAACUUUAAAAAAUAAAAAAAAUAUUUUGGCAUUGGACAAUUUGACCUUCUGCUUUAAAAAAAAAAAAAAAAAGCCAGUACAAUUUUAGCCAAUUUGUUUGCCAAAAGUGCAUACUGAUAACAGAUUAGUCUGCAUGGUACACAUUUCUGGAACAGCUGUGGCCCAAAGACCAAUGCCAAAUUGACCAGCAAAGGACAAAAGAAGACUUAUAAAAUAUGUGUUAAAUGAGGAAGGACAAACAAAACACCACAUUUCAUAUUGAGGGAAUAAGCAAAGCAAAUAAAAUGUCAUAAUAACUUUUUAAAAUGUCAAUACUUGUCAACAUUUCACGUAAAUAUGCAAACUUUACCUGUGAAAAAUUACUACCUAAUUCAUAGUAAAUUUGGUGUUGUAGAAAGCUUAUAUACCCACAUAGAUGAACGCAUUUUAUAAUAUAUAGUAUGACUAUGACUAUGAGGACUUAAGGAUAUGCGUAAAAGGAAAAUUAACUCCGCAACUAUUUAAGUUACAUCUCUAUUCUCAAAUUGUUUUAGAGUAAGAAUAAAGUACCACCUCUUAUAGUCAAAAUAAUUAGGAUCCAGAUCCACUGCAAAAAGGUGUCAAAAAGAAUGAUGUCAUUCCGUAUGUAUAGAUAUGGAAUAAUUUUCAAGAUAUAGUAAGUGAAAAAAGUAAAAUACAGAAUGAUAUGUAAAGUAUGCUACCAUUUGUGAAGUUAGAACACAGGAUAUGUAUGUUCAUAUAUGCCUGCAUAUGCACAGGAUUUCUAGAAUGUUCCAGUUUCCAGAACAAGAAACUGCCUAGAAGAGGUUGCCUCUGCAGGGUGAAAUCAGGGACUUGAAGGAUUGGAGUAGUGAUUCUCACAUUUGUGUGUAUGUUUGAGUCAACUAGGGAUCUUGAAACAAACAAACAAAAAAAACUAUAUUGAGAUAUGAUUAAAAUACAAAAAGUGGCACAUAUUUAAAGUGUAUGGGGCCGGAGCCGGGCCAGUGGCUCACGCCUGUAAUCCCAGCACUUAGGGAGGCCCAGGCGGGUGGAUCACCCAAGGUCAGGAGUUCAAGACCAGCCUGGCCAACAUGGCAAAACCCUGUCUCUAUUAAAAAUACAAAAAUCAGCCGGGCAUGUUGGUAGGCACCUAUAAACCCAGCUACUCAGGAAGCUGAGGCAGGAGAAUUGCUUGAACCUGAAGGCAGAGGUUGCAGUGAGCCAAGAUCGUGCCACUUCACUCCAGCCUAGACAAAAGGGUGAAACUCCAUCUUAAAAAAAUAAAAAUAAAGUGUAUAGUUUGAUCAGUUUGGGCAUAUGUACGCACCAGUAACACCAUUGCCACAAGCACAAUAACAAAAAUACCUAACACCUACAAAAGCUAGCUUCCUCAAGCUCCUAUGCUCCAUGGUCCCCAUCGCAACAAACCUUUCCAAGGAAACCACUAAUAUAAUUUCUGUUCUUGCAGAUUAGUCCGCAUUUUCUAAACUUUUACAAAGAUGAAAUCUUACCUAAUAUAUUCUUUUUUAUCUGGCUUCUUUCACUCAGCGUAUUUUAAGAUUUAUCAUGUUGGGGCAUACAUUAAUAUUUCUUGCUCUGAGUAUCAUUAUAUUGCAUGGAUGUAUUAUGGUUUAUUCACUUAUUGAUGGAUAUUUGACUUGUUUCCAGUUUUUGAAUGUUAAAAUGAAGCUGCUACACAUAUUCAUGCAUACUUUUUAACAAAUGGACAUAUACUUUUAUUUAUCUUGGAAAGACAUCUAAGGAUGAAAUGACUAAAUUGCAUAUAUGUGCAAUUUUUAAAGAAACUGCCAAACUAUUUGUCAAAGUAGUCAUACAAUUUAGCAUUCCCACCAUCAGUGUAUGAGAAUUCCAGGUCCUCUGUACUCUCACUGACGCCUGAUAUGGUCAACGUUUAAUUUUAGCUAUUGUAAUAUGCAUGUGCUGGUAUUCCAUCAUACUUUUAAUUGUGUUCCCCUAAUGACUACAAUGUUGAACAUCUUUUUCUGUGCUUAUUUGCUUCCAUAUUUCUAGCUGUUAAUAUCUGUUUAUUUAAAAAAUUAGGUUAUUUGUUUUCUGAGUUUUGAGAUUUCUUUUUAUAUUCUGGGCACUGGUGUUUAUAGAAUAUAUGAUUUGCAAAUAUUUUCUUCUAGGCUGUGGCUUGUGUUUUCUCUCUCCUAAACAGUUUCUUUUUAAAAGCAGAGUUUUUAAUUUUGAUGAAGUGCAAUUUAUCCAUUUGUAAUUCUAUGGAUCAUGCUUUUGGUGCCAUAUUUUAAGAUCUUUGCCUAGCCCAAGACCACAAAAGUUUUCUCCUAGUCUUUUUCUGAAAGUGUUAUAGUGUGAGGUUUUAUGUUUGUGUCUAUGAUUCAUCUUGAGUUAAUUUUAUAUAUGAAUGAGUUAUGAAUUGUUUAUUUUUGUGCUUAUGAAUAUCCCAUUAUUCCAACAUUACUUGUUGAGAAGACUGUCCCUUCUCCAUCACAUACAUGUGGGUCUACUCUUGGACUCUUUAUUCUAUUGAUGUGUUUGUGGAACUUGACACCAAAACUAUACUGUCUUGAUUACUGUAGCUGAAUAAAAUUAUUAGAACUUUUGACAUUAGGUAGUAUUAGUACUCUAUCUUUUUUUCAAAGUUGUUUUGGCUAUUCUAGUUCUUUGCAUUUCCAUAUGAAAUUUAAUAUUACUUUGUCAAUCUCUACAAAAAAAGACUCCUGUGAUUUUGGUCAGGAUUAUUUUAGAUCUACAUAUCAAUUUGUGCAUAACUGACAUCUUAAUAUUGCAUCCUUCAAAUCAUGAACCAGUAUAUCCUUCCGUUUCAUUAGGUCUUCUUUAAUUUCUCUCAGCAAUGUUUUUGUAGUUUUAAGUAUAUAUGUCUUGCAUAUCCUUUCCAGAUUUAUCCCUACUUUGUAUUAUAGUAAAUAUUGCUUUUUAACUUCAAUUUCUGAUAUUCAUUUAUAAUAGAUAGAAAUACAAUUUAUUUUGUAUAUUGAUCUUGUAUUCUGUGAACUUGCCAAACACAUUUGUUCUAGUGGGUUUUGGAGAUUUGGGUUUUCUGUAUAGAUAAUCACGAUGCCUGUACACAAAGAUAGUUUUACUUCUGUCUUUUCA